UGAGGAAUAUUGGACAAUGGGCGGGAGCCUGAUCCAGCCAUGCCGCGUGCAGGAAGACUGCCCUAUGGGUUGUAAACUGCUUUUUUACGGGAAGAAACACCCCCUCGUGAGGGGGCUUGACGGUACCGUACGAAUAAGGACCGGCUAACUCCGUGCCAGCAGCCGCGGUAAUACGGAGGGUCCGAGCGUUAUCCGGAAUCAUUGGGUUUAAAGGGUCCGUAGGCGGGCGUCUAAGUCAGUGGUGAAAUCCCGCAGCUCAACUGUGGAAUUGCCACUGAUACUGGUCGCCUUGAAUCAAUGUGAAGUGGCUAGAAUAUGUGGUGUAGCGGUGAAAUGCUUAGAUAUUACAUAGAAUACCGAUUGCGAAGGCAGGUCACUAACAUUGCAUUGACGCUGAUGGACGAAAGCGUGGGGAGCGAACAGG
This 424-nucleotide ribosomal RNA is filed under the name uncultured prokaryote. RNAcentral's name for it is "bacterial SSU rRNA". It matches the Rfam family "Bacterial small subunit ribosomal RNA", at positions 355 to 776 of the family's 1533-position model. RNAcentral also lists the same sequence under 1 other name. The record is from RNAcentral.